GUAGGUGGCAAGCGUUGUCCGGAAUUAUUGGGCGUAAAGCGCGCGCAGGCGGUUCUUUAAGUCUGAUGUGAAAGCCCACGGCUCAACCGUGGAGGGUCAUUGGAAACUGGAGAACUUGAGUACAGAAGAGGAAAGCGGAAUUCCACGUGUAGCGGUGAAAUGCGUAGAGAUGUGGAGGAACACCAGUGGCGAAGGCGGCUUUCUGGUCUGUAACUGACGCUGAGGCGCGAAAGCGUGGGGAGCAAACAGGAUUAGAUACCCUGGUAGUCCACGCCGUAAACGAUGAGUGCUAAGUAUUAGGGGGGUUUCCGCCCCCCUUAGUGCUGCAGCUAACGCAUUAAGCACUCCGCCUGGGAUACGGCCGCAAGGCUG
RNAcentral lists this ribosomal RNA (372 nucleotides) under uncultured organism. RNAcentral's name for it is "partial 16S ribosomal RNA". It matches the Rfam family "Bacterial small subunit ribosomal RNA", at positions 527 to 896 of the family's 1533-position model. The record is from RNAcentral.